Molecule: ribosomal RNA, 778 nt
Filed under: uncultured archaeon
Lineage: Archaea
Description: bacterial SSU rRNA
Rfam family: Archaeal small subunit ribosomal RNA
Source: RNAcentral
GGGAAUACUGUAGAGCUAGGGAGUGGGAGAGGUAGACGGUACUCGGUAGGAAGGGGUAAAAUCCUUUGAUCUAUUGAUGACCACCUGUGGCGAAGGCGGUCUACCAGAACACGUCCGACGGUGAGGGAUGAAAGCUGGGGGAGCAAACCGGAUUAGAUACCCGGGUAGUCCCAGCUGUAAACUAUGCAAACUCAGUGAUGCAUUGGCUUGUGGCCAAUGCAGUGCUGCAGGGAAGCCGUUAAGUUUGCCGCCUGGGAAGUACGUACGCAAGUAUGAAACUUAAAGGAAUUGGCGGGGGAGCACCACAAGGGGUGAAGCCUGCGGUUCAAUUGGAGUCAACGCCAGAAAUCUUACCCGGAGAGACAGCAGAAUGAAGGUCAAGCUGAAGACUUUACCAGACAAGCUGAGAGGUGGUGCAUGGCCGUCGCCAGCUCGUGCCGUGAGAUGUCCUGUUAAGUCAGGUAACGAGCGAGAUCCCUGCCUCUAGUUGCCACCAUUACUCUCAGGAGUAGUGGGGCGAAUUAGCGGGGCCGCCGUAGUUAAUGCGGAGGAAGAAAGGGGCCACGGCAGGUCAGUAUGCCCCGUAACUCUGGGGCCACACGCGGGCUGCAAUGGUAAUGACAAUGGGUCCCAAAUCCGAAAGGAGGAGGUAAUCCUCAAACAUUACCACAGUUAUGACUGAGGGCUGCAACUCGCCCUCACGAAUAUGGAAUCCCUAGUAACUGCGUGUCAUUAUCGCGCGGUGAAUACGUCCCUGCUCCUUGCACUCACCGCCCGU